AUUGAACGCUGGCGGCAUGCUUUACACACGCAAGUCGAACGGUAACAGGUUAAGCUGACGAGUGGCGAACGGGUGAGUAAUGCAUCGGAACGUGCCCGGUCGUGGGGGAUAACGCAGCGAAAGCUGCGCUAAUACCGCAUACGAUCUAAGGAUGAAAGCGGGGGACCGUACGGCCUCGCGCGAUCGGAGCGGCCGAUGUCAGAUUAGGUAGUUGGUGGGGUAAAGGCUCACCAAGCCAACGAUCUGUAGCUGGUCUGAGAGGACGACCAGCCACACUGGGACUGAGACACGGCCCAGACUCCUACGGGAGGCAGCAGUGGGGAAUUUUGGACAAUGGGCGAAAGCCUGAUCCAGCAAUGCCGCGUGCAGGAAGAAGGCCUUCGGGUUGUAAACUGCUUUUGUACGGAGCGAAAAGGUCUCCUCUAAUACAGGGGGCUCAUGACGGUACCGUAAGAAUAAGCACCGGCUAACUACGUGCCAGCAGCCGCCGUAA
This 493-nucleotide ribosomal RNA is filed under the name uncultured bacterium. RNAcentral describes it as "partial 16S ribosomal RNA". It matches the Rfam family "Bacterial small subunit ribosomal RNA", at positions 29 to 523 of the family's 1533-position model. The record is from RNAcentral.